This 244-nucleotide ribosomal RNA is filed under the name uncultured Actinomycetales bacterium. RNAcentral's name for it is "partial 16S ribosomal RNA". It matches the Rfam family "Bacterial small subunit ribosomal RNA", at positions 94 to 334 of the family's 1533-position model. The record is from RNAcentral. Lineage: Bacteria; Bacillati; Actinomycetota; Actinomycetes; Actinomycetales.
AGUGGCGAACGGGUGAGUAAUACGUGAGUAACCUACCUUUAACUCUGGGAUAAGCCUGGGAAACUGGGUCUAAUACCGGAUACGACCAAUCUCCGCAUGGAGUGUUGGUGGAAAGCGUUAUGUAGUGGUUAUAGAUGGGCUCACGGCCUAUCAGCUUGUUGGUGAGGUAACGGCUCACCAAGGCGACGACGGGUAGCCGGCCUGAGAGGGUGACCGGCCACACUGGGACUGAGACACGGCCCAG